Molecule: long non-coding RNA, 1425 nt
Organism: Pecten maximus
Lineage: Eukaryota; Metazoa; Mollusca; Bivalvia; Pectinida; Pectinidae
Exons: 2
Source: RefSeq, a predicted model, not a curated record
CCCCCCGCUGAACUGGAAGCUUUGUUACUGACCCAUCCAUGCGUGCAGGAUGCCGCCGUUGUCGGUCUUGAUGCAGGAGAGGGUAUUGGGGAGGUCCCGCGAGCUUAUGUUGUCCCUAAACCCAAUGCAUGUUUGAAGGAGGAGGACGUCGCCAGAUUUGUGGAAGAAAACGUGAUACACUACAAGAGGCUGACGGGAGGAGUGAAAUUUGUGGACACAAUUCCAAAAUCAAACAGCGGUAAAAUAAUCCGUCGUCAGCUCAAGGACAUAUUUGUUAGUUACUGAAUACCUUCCACCAUCAAUGAUGUCAUUUGUGCAUAAACAAAAAAAAAUCAAAUUAGUAGUAGGGGUAUUGUGUCAAAUGGUAAAGAUAACACGAAUAUGUUCCUCCUUUGUGCAACAAUUUGUUAAAAUAAAGAGGAUGCUCUACAAAAUGUAAAAAAAAAUCAAAUCAAAUAAGACACUCAUCGACUCGAUGUUUAUAUUUGAUAAUUGAAUCUGAUAACAAGACUAUGAGACGUGUUCUUUUGACAAUGAUUCAUACACAUCCAUCUAGUAAUGGAGUCGAACCGAAGGGUAUAAUUUGUACGAAGUUAUGAACAGGAAAGGGAAAACGCAGUGACCGGUCUCGGACUCGAACACCGGACCUCCGAACUCUGAACGGACGCUCUAAAACUUUCAGCAACCAGGCCACUUGCCUCAUUCAAGUCCAGUUCGGUUACAUUCCUGCCUUCCUCAACAAAGUCUUCGACCCCGAAGACACACACGACACCCUAUACUGCCCUCCGUGGGUAUUAGAUUGGACAACAGAUGUGACAGGAAAGGAACUUGGAACCUCCGAGUUCUAGACGGACGCUCCAACCAUUUUAGCUAACUGGUCACCGACGUUCAGCCCAAUCCAGCUUAUUUAAGGAGUCUAAACCUCUUUUGCAGAAUGUAGAAUCUGCGUUCGAUCUGAUUUUUUGUAUAUUUAACUUUCAUAAGGCACAACGUAAAUGCUCUCUGUACAAGUGAUGGUACAUCUAUGUAAAGUUUGAUAAAGCUAAUAUUUUCAAUGUAAUACGGUAUGUAACAAACCAGGUUAAUAAUUUGAUUGAUCAUAUGCUCGGCCUAUUAUCCAGUGAAUCGGCUCAUUUCCACUAAAUGCUAUGGUUUGUACCACGGAUGUGAGUUAAUGCUGCAUUUGUGCUUAAUAAUUAUAACAGGUUCAUAUUCAAAGAUGUGUAUACUUCCAGCUUUUCUUCGUUUGUUCUACUAAAUGGUGGAUGGAUUCUGAUGUUCGGGGUCUAAUGGCAUUCGUUCUUACUUUACCACGUAGUCAAAUGACAAACUCGAGAGACUACACUAACACUUGGUCGACAAAACUUGCCAGUGCAAACAUUUAACGUAUUUCAUAGUGUAUAUAAAUAAAUGUAAUGCAAUUGU